Molecule: ribosomal RNA, 425 nt
Filed under: uncultured bacterium
Lineage: Bacteria
Description: bacterial SSU rRNA
Rfam family: Bacterial small subunit ribosomal RNA
Source: RNAcentral
UAAGGAAUAUUGGGCAAUGGACGCAAGUCUGACCCAGCCAUGCCGCGUGAAGGAUGACUGUCCUAUGGAUUGUAAACUUCUUUUAUGCAGGAAAAAUAGCCUGGUCGCGAACCGGGUUUGAUGGUACUGUAUGAAUAAGCAUCGGCUAACUCCGUGCCAGCAGCCGCGGUAAUACGGAGGAUGCAAGCGUUAUCCGGAUUCAUUGGGUUUAAAGGGUGCGCAGGCGGAAUUAUAAGUCAGUGGUGAAAUCUCCCAGCUUAACUGGGAAACUGCCAUUGAUACUGUUAUUCUUGAGUACAGUUGAAGUGGGCGGAAUGUGUCAUGUAGCGGUGAAAUGCUUAGAUAUGACACAGAACACCGAUAGCGAAGGCAGCUCACUAAGCUGUAACUGACGCUCAUGCACGAAAGCGUGGGGAUCAAACAGG